AUGUUUGUCUUUUCUGUUCUUUUACAGAUCACUAUUGCACACCAAAUGCUCUUACUCAACAGAUGGGGACAGCUACCGUCACCCAAUUUUCUUUCGCACAAGCUGUGCAAAAGUGGCUGCGCUAUGCGCCAGACCGGGCAGGAGGGACUGGACGACAACUUAUGCAGGCAUCAGAUGACAAUGAAGUGUAAAUUAAGAGUAGAGAGGCUAAUAAACAUGAAUUUGAUUUUAAAUAGUGUGGUGUGUUCUGUGUUUUAUACAAGAUUUCAAAUGUUCCAUUACUUUUUAACAUCCUGGCUGUAGAUAAAGCAGGCUAUUUAAUUUAUGGCAUUACAUUUAAAAUUAACAUUUAAAAACGAUUGAAAUUCCAUUGAAAUCACGUUGAUCCUUAGUUCAGUUGAAAUUUCAACAUUGUUUCAAUAUUCCUGAUAAUUGAAAUACCAUUGAAAUUCCAUUGAUUUAUGGACAGAAUUUCAACAUUGUUUCAAUAUUAAAUCAGGGUGCAAAAUGAUGUUGAAUCAACAUCAGAGUUCGAUGUUGAUUCAAUGACUUAAUGUUGACAACGGAAUGUUGAUUCAGCAUAGUUUCAAUGACUGUUUGCUAUCUGGGAAUGCAGUACCAAAACAACCAAUCAAAUAAGAGAAAGAAUGUCACUGCAGGUGUCAAACGACCAAUCAAAUAAGAGAACGAAUGUCACUGCAGGUAUCAAACGACCAAUCAAAUUAAUACAAAAUAACCGCUCCGUUUUCAUUCAGACUCCUCAGAGUUUCUAAAAGUCAUUUUGAACACAAAAUAGACAACAAAUGAAAUCAAAGUAAAUAUUCUGUUUAAAGUAAAAUAUGUGAUUAUACUUGCCGUAAUCUACGAAACGGUACGAAUAAGAUAUUACUUUCCCCCGUUCACCGUUUAACACGGCCCUUGCUUACACGAGGAGGACAGACGAAACCGCGGAACGGAUUACUUCAGGAAUCUCCUCACAAAGACGUUUAUUCGGUUUGUAUUAUUUCUUUCCUUCUUUCUUUCUUUUUUCUUGGCGUUUUUCAAGGAUUUGACUUGGGUAAACUGACUAAGUUCCUCAAGUGGUAGGCCUACGUAUUUAAAGGGGACGUCAGAAGUAAAAUUCACUUUUACAUGGUGUGUGUGGACACAACCACCCUACAACGAUAGAAAUCCAUUCUCUACUUUUUUUUUUUUUUUUGUGUUUUGUUGGUGGUGUCCACCUGAGUUGACGUCACUUUUUUAAUGACGUACGACUCGCAUUUACUGGGGAAUAUCCGAUUUGUCUGCUUACAUGGCACACGCAAAUGCACGUAUCCGAUUCAUAUCCGAUGUAUUACCACAUAUGAAUGAGGCCUGAAUCCGAUCUGAGAAAAUCGGAAUCCAUGCGGUUUUUUCCUGCUUGCACGUUCACCGGUCAUAUCCGAUCUGUGCCACAUUGGAGGAAAAAAUCGGAAUUGGGUCAAUUGAUCCAUGCAGUGUAAAUGGGGCCAUAUAGAGGACUGAGGGGUGCAUCAGGUACAUCUGCUGAGCGGUAUGCAAGAUAAGUUGUUGUCACCUUCCUAACACCAUCACAGAAAACUUUAUCCAAGCCAAACAGGGACGAAACAAGUGACAAAUGCGACACCCUCUCCUGAUAGCCAUAUUGCUCACAUUUGAGUUAAGCCGUUUUGGAGGUAUUUAUGGUAUUUGUUUAAUUUUAUUUAUAUGCCUCAAAAAUAUGCAUAUUUUUGGACAUAUUUACACAACAUUGCUGUAAAUGCAAAACUUCACUUUAAAGAAGACCUUGACAAAACAAGUAUACGCACGUGAUCAUGGCAUCAGGAAUUAAGAGCACAUUGAACAUAAAGAGCAAUAAACAUGAGGUUGAAAUGUAAAAUUGUAGUGAUGUAAGAAAUGUUAGAAGUAUAAGGAUAAAGUGCCAGUGCACAACUGAGGUGGCUCACAGCAGACUAAAUAAUGUUAAUUAAUGUGCAUUUGCACAGCCACAGAGUGUCCUUAGCGCACACUGGGUGGCAGAGUGUGCAUGUAUGCAGACUGACCAUUGUGCAGUUGAGCAAGAGUGUCUACAGUGCACAGCUAAGUUAAAGCAAAUAUUAAACAAACAAACAAAAAAUCUUCUGGAACUUUGGAUUAUUUAUUUUAUUAAAGAAGAUUUUCACUGAAUUAUUGCGGCAAAAUGUAAGAAUGUAAGUGUCCUUGAGCUGUUUUAAUAGGGGAAAACCCCCCAAAACUAAUGAAUGUGUUAUUUUCUUUUCUUUAAGUAGGUGUGCAUUAAAUGAUCUGCCAAGCUUCUGCGGUUGCCAAGCUAUUGGGUUGAAAAAAAAAAAUAACCCAGCGUUUUGUAGAGUGUAUUUUUGAUUUAUUCAUCCCAAAUUUGGCAAAUUCCGUGACAUUAAUAUAUAUGUAUUUAUAUAUACAGUAAAUUCCAUUCUUUUGGAAUGUUUUCUGGAUCAGUUGAUGGAAUUGUCUGAAGAUAUCAGAUAUUAUUAAGUCAGAUGUAGCUUUGUGAAUGUGAGCAUUUAGGAUUCAGUGUUAUUUAAGUAUCAUUUGUAUACUAUUUUAUUAAUUAAUAUUUUGAAAUGGCUUUUAUUUUUAUAUUUUCAGUUUUGAUUUUAGUUUAGGCUUUCUUAAUUUUAUUAUGUGCUAAUGUAAUUGUUAUUUUUUUGUUAAAAUAUUUCUAUUAACUUAUUUUUUUAUUCAGUUUGAGUCAUUUUAGUACUUCAACUUAUUUUAUUUCUGUUUAGUAAUUUUAUGUGCUUUUUAAUUGUAUUAUUUCUAUUUAGUUUUUGUUUGUUUUAGUUUUAGUAAUUUUAGUACUUAAACUUUUCAAAUCAGUUGAAGUUUGGUUUGAUAAUAGUAACUGUAUUUUAAUAGUACUCUUGGUGUGCAUCUCAAGCAAUCAGAUGUUGAGUGGGGGAAAUAGAGAAUAACGAAUUAAUGAAAUCAAGUUAUGGAACUAUUGUUGAACGAUUCAAACCGUUUAUAGAGCACUGCUGACACCUAGUGGACAUGUUAUAUAUCAGCUUGAUGCCAGUAAAUAUUUAUUAAUGUGCAUAUGCACAGGUAUAAAGUAGCCAUAGCUGUACAUUAGGAAGGGCAUGCAAUUGCUUUGCAAAGAAGAUCUAAAAGGCCCUUUAAAGAAGCACUUUUAGCCAUAACAGUAAAAUAAAGGAAAACAUUCCUAUAUGCCUGCAAAACCACAUUAAAGUAUGGGGAUGCAGUAAAUGGCAAUAAUUAGAAUCCAAAAAUCUGCUAAAUUAGUCAUCUACAAUCUUAUAAUUUCCAUUGCAUUUUGAAUGUUAAUCAAAACAGUACAAAUAAAUUAAGUUUAUUUUCCAGCUAAUUAUGGUAAGUAUAGUGUAUUUUUUUUUUUUUUAGAAUUCAAAGAGAAAAUGAGCGUAUAUAUAAUUUUAUGGAGGCUAAAAACUGCGACAUUAAACAUUGAGCUGGUUUGAUGUACACAUUCAGUGUGAAGUGCAGAUUAGAUCAUUUCUGCUGUUGCGAGGCUGUGGGCGGCUGGGAGACAGACAUGAAAGGGUUGUCAUAUGAAAGGAAAGCAGACAUGAACUUCCUGUGAACUUGUCUCAUUUCUGAGUAUGCUGAGAGAUCAGCUCUACAACCAUAGCAGCUACUAAGACAAGGUUCAUUUUUCUUUUUUCUUUUUUGGCUAAGUAGGCAGAGUGACCCUAUUAGGUCCAUGUGCUAUAUAAGCCCACUGUUUUGUUGUUUUGCAAUAUAGACAAAAAGUAUGAUAUAUACAUAUUUUUUCUCUCGCCAUGCCAUAUUGUCUCUACAGGAAGUAAAAGUUUUAAGAGCAUAGAAAAGUUCAAUGAGUUCUUGGUUUAGUGGGC
Cyprinus carpio carpio is the source of this 3851-nucleotide long non-coding RNA. The record is from Ensembl. Lineage: Eukaryota; Metazoa; Chordata; Actinopteri; Cypriniformes; Cyprinidae.